AGAGUUUGAUCAUGGCUCAGAAUCAACGCUGGCGGCGUGCCUAACACAUGCAAGUCGAACGCGGUUAGUAGCAAUACUAACUGAGUGGCGAACGGGUGAGUAACACGUGGGUGACCUACCUUCGAGUGGGGGAUAACGUCCCGAAAGGGACGCUAAUACCGCAUGACAUCCUGCCUUUGAACAGGUGGAGAUCAAAGCUGGGGAUCGCAAGACCCGGCGCUUGAUGAGGGGCCCGCGUCCGAUUAGCUAGUUGGUGAGGUAACGGCUCACCAAGGCGACGAUCGGUAUCCGGCCUGAGAGGGCGGACGGACACACUGGGACUGAGACACGGCCCAGACUCCUACGGGAGGCAGCAGUGGGGAAUUGUUCACAAUGGGCGCAAGCCUGAUGACGCAACGCCGCGUGGAGGAUGAAGGUCUUCGGAUUGUAAACUCCUGUUGCCAGGGACGAAUGGCUCCGACCUAAUACGUCGGAGAAUGACGGUACCUGGUGAGGAAGCCCCGGCUAACUCUGUGCCAGCAGCCGCGGUAAUAC
Molecule: ribosomal RNA, 534 nt
Filed under: uncultured bacterium
Lineage: Bacteria
Description: bacterial SSU rRNA
Rfam family: Bacterial small subunit ribosomal RNA
Source: RNAcentral